AUUGUUUCUCAGCCUUUUGGCUAAAAUCAAGUGUAGUGUCUGUUAUCAGUUUAAUAUACGAUGUAUGUUCUAUCCAAGGAGAGUAUGUUACAUGGAUUUUUGGAGCUAAGAGAUAGAAUAGAAGCAGUUUCUGUCCACUCCAUGCCAUCAACCUGGUAUCGCAGUUCCUCCACGAACAGUGCACCAUCU
This is a small nuclear RNA of Peromyscus maniculatus bairdii (prairie deer mouse), 189 nucleotides long. Its record names the gene U2. It matches the Rfam family "U2 spliceosomal RNA". Rfam says of the family: U2 is a small nuclear RNA (snRNA) component of the spliceosome (involved in pre-mRNA splicing). Complementary binding between U2 snRNA (in an area lying towards the 5' end but 3' to hairpin I) and the branchpoint sequence (BPS) of the intron results the bulging out of an unpaired adenosine, on the BPS, which initiates a nucleophilic attack at the intronic 5' splice site, thus starting the first of two transesterification reactions that mediate splicing. Lineage: Eukaryota; Metazoa; Chordata; Mammalia; Rodentia; Cricetidae. The record is from Ensembl.